RNAcentral lists this ribosomal RNA (117 nucleotides) under uncultured bacterium. Its description in RNAcentral is "partial 16S ribosomal RNA". It matches the Rfam family "Bacterial small subunit ribosomal RNA", at positions 1384 to 1500 of the family's 1533-position model. The record is from RNAcentral.
UACACACCGCCCGUCACACCAUGAGAGUUGGGAAUACCCGAAGCCUGUGAGCUAACAUUUAUGAGGCAGCAGUCGAAGGUAGAAUCAAUGAUUGGGGUGAAGUCGUAACAAGGUAAC